AGUGAACGCUGGCGGUAGGCCUAACACAUGCAAGUCGAACGGCAGCACAGUGAGAGCUUGCUCUUACGGGUGGCGAGUGGCGGACGGGUGAGGAAUACAUCGGAAUCUACUUUUUCGUGGGGGAUAACGUAGGGAAACUUACGCUAAUACCGCAUACGACCUACGGGUGAAAGCAGGGGAUCUUCGGACCUUGCGCGAUUGAAUGAGCCGAUGUCGGAUUAGCUAGUUGGCGGGGUAAAGGCCCACCAAGGCGACGAUCCGUAGCUGGUCUGAGAGGAUGAUCAGCCACACUGGAACUGAGACACGGUCCAGACUCCUACGGGAGGCAGCAGUGGGGAAUAUUGGACAAUGGGCGCAAGCCUGAUCCAGCCAUAUCGCGUGGGUGAAGAAGGCCUUCGGGUUGUAAAGCCCUUUUGUUGGGAAAGAAAAGCAGCAGGUUAAUACCCCGCUGUUCUGACGGUACCCAAAGAAUAAGCACCGGCUAACUUCGUG
Molecule: ribosomal RNA, 492 nt
Filed under: uncultured bacterium
Lineage: Bacteria
Description: partial 16S ribosomal RNA
Rfam family: Bacterial small subunit ribosomal RNA
Source: RNAcentral